UACGUAGGGACCAAGCGUUGUUCGGAUUUACUGGGCGUAAAGGGCGCGUAGGCGGCGCGGUAAGUCACUUGUGAAAUCUCUGAGCUUAACUCAGAACGGCCAAGUGAUACUGCAGUGCUAGAGUGUGGAAGGGGCAAUCGGAAUUCUUGGUGUAGCGGUGAAAUGCGUAGAUAUCAAGAGGAACACCUGAGGUGAAGACGGGUUGCUGGGCUGACACUGACGCUGAGGCGCGAAAGCUAGGGUAGCAAACGGG
This 253-nucleotide ribosomal RNA is filed under the name uncultured bacterium. RNAcentral's name for it is "partial 16S ribosomal RNA". It matches the Rfam family "Bacterial small subunit ribosomal RNA", at positions 524 to 776 of the family's 1533-position model. The record is from RNAcentral.